CGGAGCGUAGCUCAGCCUGGUAGAGCAUUAGCUUUGGGAGCUAAGGGCCGUUGGUUCGAAUCCAGCCGCUCCGACCA
This 77-nucleotide transfer RNA is filed under the name Alphaproteobacteria bacterium. RNAcentral's name for it is "tRNA-Pro". It matches the Rfam family "tRNA". From Rfam's summary of the family: Transfer RNA (tRNA) molecules are approximately 80 nucleotides in length. Lineage: Bacteria; Pseudomonadati; Pseudomonadota; Alphaproteobacteria. RNAcentral also lists the same sequence under 2 other names. The record is from RNAcentral.